RNAcentral lists this non-coding RNA (105 nucleotides) under Sphingomonas changbaiensis. RNAcentral describes it as "Glycine sequence". It matches the Rfam family "Glycine riboswitch aptamer". Rfam says of the family: This family represents the bacterial glycine riboswitch. Glycine riboswitches usually consist of two metabolite-binding aptamers domains with similar structures in tandem. Lineage: Bacteria; Pseudomonadati; Pseudomonadota; Alphaproteobacteria; Sphingomonadales; Sphingomonadaceae. The record is from RNAcentral. RNAcentral also lists the same sequence under 1 other name.
CAGCGACACUCUGGAAAGCGUCCGUGCGCCAGUGCGGGCCACCGAAGGGGUAAGUCGGGUUUGCGCCCGGUGAAAGCUCUCAGGUCCCGUGACAGAGGGGGCAGC